This 440-nucleotide ribosomal RNA is filed under the name uncultured bacterium. RNAcentral describes it as "partial 16S ribosomal RNA". It matches the Rfam family "Bacterial small subunit ribosomal RNA", at positions 338 to 795 of the family's 1533-position model. The record is from RNAcentral.
CCUACGGGUGGCAGCAGUGGGGAAUAUUGCACAAUGGGGGAAACCCUGAUGCAGCGACGCCGCGUGAGUGAAGAAGUAUUUCGGUUUGUAAAGCUCUAUUAGCAGGGAAGAAAAUGACGGUACCUGAUUAAGAAGCCCCGGCUAAAUACGUGCCAGCAGCCGCGGUAAUACGUAGGGGGCAACCGGUAUGCGGAUUUACUGGGUGUAAAGGGGGCGUAGACGGCAGCACAAGUCUGGAGUGAAAUGCCGGAGCUUAACCCCGGAACUGCUUUGGAAACUGUGCGGCUAGAGUGCAGGAGAGGUAAGUGGAAUUCCUAGUGUAGCGGUGAAAUGCGUAGAUAUUAGGAGGAACACCAGUGGCGAAGGCAGCUUACUGGAAUGUAACUGACGCUGAGGCACGAAAGCGUGGGGAGCAAACAGGAUUAGAUACCCCAGUAGUC